This 426-nucleotide ribosomal RNA is filed under the name Triticum aestivum (bread wheat). RNAcentral's name for it is "partial small subunit ribosomal RNA". Lineage: Eukaryota; Viridiplantae; Streptophyta; Magnoliopsida; Poales; Poaceae. The record is from RNAcentral.
AUGAUACUGGCCUCAAGCUCCUCCAUUUUUCAUCUGGCUCCAACUCACAUGAUAUCUUCUUGGAAUGGUAUGGUAUGGUACUGGUACUGGUACCUACCCACCAAACCACAUGCAGCAGCAGCCUGCCUGAUUGAUGAUGAUCCUGCUGCUAGUGCUAGCUAUCACACACACAUGAAUCUCAUGCAUGCAUGCAUGCAUGAUCCUAACAGGAGUGCCAGGGAUCAGCAGCUGCCGCCACAGGAUGUGAUCUGCAUCUCGGUCUUGCAGCCCUUGUGUAACUUGGCUUUGGCUAGCACUUGUACCAGUGCACACACACAUGCUUGCACACAUAUGGGGUGCCGACGGAGGACCACUGGCUGCAAGAGAUGUGCAAUUUGGUGCACUGGGCCUGGAGGUAGCUUAGCUGCAUUCAUGGGAGGGGAGUAG